CCUACGGGAGGCAGCAGUGGGGAAUAUUGCACAAUGGGGGAAACCCUGAUGCAGCAACGCCGCGUGAGUGAAGAAGGUUUUCGGAUUGUAAAGCCCUGUUAGCAGGGAAGAGGAACGACGGUACCUGCAGAGGAAGCCACGGCUAACUACGGGCCAGGAGCCGCGGUCAUACGGAGGUGGGAAGCGUUGUGCGGAAGAACUGGGCGUAAAGGAUGCGUAUGCGGUUAAACAAGUUAUAUGUUAAAUAUAUAGGCUUAACCUGUAUAAAGCAUAUAAAACUGUUUAACUAGAGUGCAGGAGAGGUAAGUGGAAUGCCUGGUGUAGCGGUGAAAUGCGUAGAGAUUAGGAAGAACACCAGUGGCGAAGGCGACUUACUGGACUGUAACUGACGCUGAGGCAUGAGAGCAUGGGGAGCAAACAGGAUUAGAUACCCGAGUAGUC
RNAcentral lists this ribosomal RNA (441 nucleotides) under uncultured bacterium. Its description in RNAcentral is "partial 16S ribosomal RNA". It matches the Rfam family "Bacterial small subunit ribosomal RNA", at positions 338 to 795 of the family's 1533-position model. The record is from RNAcentral.